UUAUGAAUAAAUUUGACUAUAAAAACAGGGCAUACAAAUGUUUUUGAAACCUAGUAUGGUGUUGCCCAUCUUGGGAAAUAGAGGCAGAAGGAUCAGAAAUUCAAGACCAUCCUCAGCUACAUAAUGAGUUCAAGGCCAGCCUGGACUACAGAAGACCCUAUCUCAAAAAACAAAAGCAGACAAAAAUGAUAGAGUCUCACUAUGUAGCCCUGGUUAGCUGGCCUGGAACUUGCAAUCAGAAAUGAAAAUUCUGAAAAAAAAAAAAAGAAAGAAAGAAAAGAAAUGAAAAUUCUGAACAUGCCCAACCUAAGACUGUAAGUCCAUCCUCUGGUCUCUAUACCAGUAGAUGUGAUCUGGUCCAUGAAGGAUCAUAAAUGGUCCCCAGGCACAGAAUUGCA
Molecule: long non-coding RNA, 398 nt
Filed under: Cricetulus griseus (Chinese hamster)
Lineage: Eukaryota; Metazoa; Chordata; Mammalia; Rodentia; Cricetidae
Description: lncRNA (ENSCGRG00015036733.1)
Source: RNAcentral